AUCAUUUCUUCAUCAAAGUUGUUAAUCUCUGUCUCUUAUAUCUUAUCUCCAAAUUUCAGCCCUGUUGGAGCAGUUUUGAGACCUGUAUAACAUUUGAAGUGCGAUCUGUUCAGAAGCAAAUUUGCUCCGAAUUUCAACAAGAUGUCGAAUGAACCUAGACUCGAUUUUCCAAUGCUUGACUCAACAGGCUCGGAAUACCAUGGCUGGGUAACCAACGUUGAGAACCAUCUCACUACGAGAGGGAUAUUGCCCAUAAUACAGGCACCUAACCAGGGCCUUGUGUUCCAACGAACACCCACAAAGCAUGCUGCUCAAGUAAUUAUCUUGAUGUGAUACCAUAUGGAUCAAUUGAAGCAUUGGUUCAAGCAAUGCCAUGCAAGUACCCAACUAGCUGCAAGCUACAAGGAGUAUAGGCAAUUGAGAGAGCAAGAAAUCAAUCUUGCUGAAGAUGAAGAUAUCAAUCUUGCUGAAGAUGAAGAUGGUGAAGAUAUCACUCUCACCACUGAGGACUUCAAAGUUGUAAAGAGCACGAGGAUGCCGCAGACUUUGAUUAGAAUAGUCCUUUUCUAUUUUCCAAUAAAACGGCAAAUGUGCCUUAGUCAACAAAUGACAAUUGUAUUGACUCUUUCUCAUGUGGCGUACCCAAUGAAGUAUGAUGUCUAGGAAAGUAAUUGAGAUCGGGGUAUUUAAGCGAGCCUCGCUCCACCAACAUCUCUCUACUUCCCUGGUCAUAUUUCAUUGGAAUUACCAAACGGAUUGGCAAUUACAAUUUGUAUAAGUUUGAUUUUAUUUUGGAAUAGAUUUUGGAAACUUUGAUGUAA
Long non-coding RNA from Rosa rugosa (rugosa rose), 821 nucleotides. RefSeq lists it as uncharacterized. The record is from RefSeq and is a predicted model, not a curated record. The transcript has 2 exons. Lineage: Eukaryota; Viridiplantae; Streptophyta; Magnoliopsida; Rosales; Rosaceae.